This 478-nucleotide ribosomal RNA is filed under the name uncultured bacterium. RNAcentral describes it as "partial 16S ribosomal RNA". It matches the Rfam family "Bacterial small subunit ribosomal RNA", at positions 28 to 507 of the family's 1533-position model. The record is from RNAcentral.
GAUGAACGCUGGCGGCGUGCUUAACACAUGCAAGUCGAACGAGAAGUGAAGACGGAAACCUUCGGGCGGAAGGCUUUAUUUCGAGUGGCGGACGGGUGAGUAACGCGUGGGUAACCUGCCUCAUACAGGGGGAUAACAGUUGGAAACGACUGUUAAUACCGCAUAAGACCACAGCACCGCAUGGUGCGGGGGUAAAAACUCCGGUGGUAUGAGAUGGACCCGCGUUCGAUUAGCCAGUUGGCGGGGUAACGGCCCACCAAAGCGACGAUCGAUAGCCGAUCAGAGAGGAUGACCGGCCACAGUGGGACUGAGACACGGCCCAAACUCCUACGGGAGGCAGCAGUGGGGAAUAUUGCACAAUGGGGGAAACCCUGAUGCAGCGACGCCGCGUGAGUGAAGAAGUAUUUCGGUAUAUAAAGCUCUAUCAGCAGGGAAGAAAAUGACGGUACCUGAGUAAGAAGCCCCGGCUAACUACGUG